CUGUGCUCCAGCGCCUGGGAAGGGGAGUCUCCGGAGCGAGGGGGAGAAGAUGAAGAAACUGAGGCUUAGAAGACUUAAGUGUUUGCCCAGGAUUACAUAG
Molecule: long non-coding RNA, 100 nt
Filed under: Monodelphis domestica (gray short-tailed opossum)
Lineage: Eukaryota; Metazoa; Chordata; Mammalia; Didelphimorphia; Didelphidae
Description: lncRNA (ENSMODG00000045175.1)
Source: RNAcentral